GUUGGCAGUGCUCUUUAUAAUCUGUUUAUCUUUUAUAGGAACCCAUUUUACAGAUGAGGAAAUAGAGGCCAACUUGCCUAUGGGGUAUGCCAGAGACAAUUUGAAGGACCUCCUAAGAACAAGCUAUGGCAGAAAAGCUCCAGCUCUGCUUGUUUCCAAGCAGAAAAGAAGACAGAUCACUGGAUCACUGGAAGCCCUCGGCAGCCUGCCAUGGAGAGGGGCUCUUGGGGAGAGAAGAAGCCUGUUUCAAGCCCAGAUGCUCUUAUUUACUUGUUGUCUGCCUCUUGUCAUUUCCCCUGGGCAGGGAAGCCAGGCAAAUCCAUUUCAUUUUCUGAUUAUCUGCUUUAUUGCAUUUAUAAAAUUAAAUGAGUGCUUACCUCAGCACACAGCAAGCGAACCAAGACCAAAAGGCUGAAAC
Molecule: long non-coding RNA, 418 nt
Filed under: Monodelphis domestica (gray short-tailed opossum)
Lineage: Eukaryota; Metazoa; Chordata; Mammalia; Didelphimorphia; Didelphidae
Description: lncRNA (ENSMODG00000047719.1)
Source: RNAcentral